GACGAACGCUGGCGGCGUGCUUAACACAUGCAAGUCGAACGAAGUGGCGAACGGGUGAGUAACGCGUAAUCAACCUGCCCUUCAGAGGGGGACCACAGUUGGAAACGACUGCUAAUACCGCAUACUGAAGGAGGGGACUGCGUCUGAUUAGCUAGUUGGAGGGGUAACGGCCCACCAAGGCGAGGAUCAGUAGCCGGGCUGAGAGGAUGAACGGCCACAUGUGGACUGGGGAUCGGCCCAGACUCCUACGGGAGGCAGCAGUGGGGAAGCUUCCGCAAUGGACGGAAGUCUGACGGAGCAACGCCGCGGGAGUGAUGACGGCUUUCGGGUUGUAAAGCUCUGUUAAUCGGGACGCGGUACCGGAAUAGAAAGCCACGGCUAACUACGUGCCAGCAGCCGCGGUAAUAC
This 408-nucleotide ribosomal RNA is filed under the name uncultured bacterium. Its description in RNAcentral is "partial 16S ribosomal RNA". It matches the Rfam family "Bacterial small subunit ribosomal RNA", at positions 28 to 526 of the family's 1533-position model. The record is from RNAcentral.